RNAcentral lists this long non-coding RNA (1247 nucleotides) under Gadus morhua (Atlantic cod). RNAcentral describes it as "lncRNA (ENSGMOG00000031060.1)". Lineage: Eukaryota; Metazoa; Chordata; Actinopteri; Gadiformes; Gadidae. The record is from RNAcentral.
CCUAAGUCUAGGAGAGCUUAAAAGUCCUCAAGAGGACUCUGCACCAUUGUCCAAGAGCCCCCACGCAAUGCAGCGCACCAAUACAUGAAGAUCAUCCGGCCCCUUCCCCACUGUCCAAGAGCCCCCAGGCAAUGCAGAGCACCAAUACAUGAAGAUCACCUGACCCCCCCCCCCCCCCCCCCCCCCUCCCUUCCCCAUCCCAGCCACUACAAGCAGACCCCACCACCACACCCCCCUCCCCCCCGCCUGUGACGUGCUAGUAACCUCUCCAGGUGGGCUGCCCCAUUCCCGUCCCCGCCAACGGCACCACCCCCCUCCCACCUGAUGCACCCACGUCGCCCGGACCAGGGAUCUGCGUUCCGGUACCAGGGGCUGCGGCCCGUUCCCUUAAGGCUUGAGGGUGCCCCUUGAUGUAUUCGCUUCUGUACGCUUCACUGUUUUUAGCCGCUCCCAUAUUGAAGGGAAAAACGGUCUGUCUAGUUACUGGACCAGAUGAAAUGAGACGGAGAGGUAAUAAAGUCUGUCGGCACGAGGACCUUGGAUUUAUUAAGUAAAGUGGCAACGGUUAUACAGAGUCAGCGUGAGAAAUCGAAUAUGUCUAAGUCCCUAAUCAGCGCUGAUGGUUCGUCCGGAGCAGCUUCGCCUCCGUGGAAGGUCUGCUCCAGAAGAAGAUGAAGAGUCCCUGUGUGAUACAGUCUUAUGCUGUAUCCUCCUCUUGAUGAGGUGUGUGCGUUUGAGAUGUGUGUGGUUCUGUGUGUUUUUGCUUGACCUUGGCUCUCAGGCCCUGGUAUGUGCAUGUGUAUCUUCUUGUGUUCCUCCUAACGGGGGAGAGCUCUCAAAAUGUCUCCUGUGUGAUUAAUUAAAACGGGGGAGUGCCCCCCGAAGUGUCUCCUGUGUGAUAAUUUAAUGUGGUUCUCAGGCCCUGGUAUGUGCAGGUGUAUCUCUUGGUUCCUCCUAACGGGGGAGAGCUCUCAAAAUGUCUCCUGUGUGAUAAAUUAAUGUGGCUCUCCCGUUCUUGAGGAUGACUGGUGCAUUGUCUGAGUGUCCACCAUCUGCCUGGGUGGAAGAAAUGGGGCCUUCGGCUCCGGCCUUGACCUGACUAUUAUCAUGUUUGUGUUAUGUGUUCGUUGGGUUAGAGCAAGAGUUGACUAUAUUGUAAUGUGCCUGCCAUGUGAUGUGCUCAUCAGGCUAGGGUAGGAGUUAGCUAUAUUUGUAAUGUACAUGUGAUGUACUCAGCAGGUUAUUUU